Molecule: ribosomal RNA, 615 nt
Filed under: uncultured bacterium
Lineage: Bacteria
Description: bacterial SSU rRNA
Rfam family: Bacterial small subunit ribosomal RNA
Source: RNAcentral
CCUACGGGAGGCAGCAGUGGGGAAUUUUGGACAAUGGGCGCAAGCCUGAUCCGGCAAUGCCGCGUGCAGGAUGAAGGCCUUCGGGUUGUAAACUGCUUUUGUACGGAACGAAACGGUCUUUUCUAAUAAAGAAGGCUAAUGACGGUACCGUAAGAAUAAGCACCGGCUAACUACGUGCCAGCAGCCGCGGUAAUACGUAGGGUGCAAGCGUUAAUCGGAAUUACUGGGCGUAAAGCGUGCGCAGGCGGUAAUGUAAGACAGAUGUGAAAUCCCCGGGCUCAACCUGGGACCUGCAUUUGUGACUGCAUUGCUAGAGUACGGUAGAGGGGGAUGGAAUUCCGCGUGUAGCAGUGAAAUGCGUAGAUAUGCGGAGGAACACCGAUGGCGAAGGCAAUCCCCUGGACCUGUACUGACGCUCAUGCACGAAAGCGUGGGGAGCAAACAGGAUUAGAUACCCUGGUAGUCCACGCCCUAAACGAUGUCAACUGGUUGUUGGGUCUUCACUGACUCAGUAACGAAGCUAACGCGUGAAGUUGACCGCCUGGGGAGUCGGCCGCAAGGUUGAAACUUAGAAGUAGUCGCGNGNGAGAGCGACGACGACGACGAGGAGGGAGG